RNAcentral lists this ribosomal RNA (117 nucleotides) under Pteropus alecto (black flying fox). Lineage: Eukaryota; Metazoa; Chordata; Mammalia; Chiroptera; Pteropodidae. The record is from RNAcentral.
GUCUAUGGCCACGUCACCCUGAACAUGCGGAUCUCGUCUGAUCUCCCAAGCUAAGCAGUGUCCAGCCUGGUUAGUACUAAGUGGGAAACCACUUUGAAAUACCAAGUGCUGUAGGUG